GAGAGAGAGAGGCCUUCCCCGACCUAAAAACAGAGGGAGCAAACUUUGAAACGCUCAACUUUACUCGAGAGACUAAAAUCGGAGAAGAGUUCAAGAGAAUAAUAUUUCGUGCAGAGAAACUUAUGUAUGGAAUACAUAGCUCUCAUAUAUAAAAUUAAUAUUUAUAUAUGAUAUACUAAAUCCAACAAGUGUUUCCCAUAUAUAUUAAUAUCUUGCAUGGGUGCAUAAGCUUUCAUCAGCAAAGCAAAAAAAUCCAUUUUCAUUCUCCUUCGAUUCUAACUUCUCGGAACCUUCUCUAAUGCUGCAAGUGAUAUUCAUUUCUUUAAAUUAUGCUUUUCUUUGAAAUGCCAAGUUGCCAACCAAUUAGGUAACUUUUUGGCAAUAUAUGAAAACUUGGCCCAAAUUUUCCUAAGUUUCUGCCCUAAAAGUGAAGGGCUACCUCAAUGAUAUCCUAACUAACCUAUUUAUUUUCCUCCCAUUAAACACCAUAAAAGUUGGUUGAGAAAUAAGAAGAAAGUGGCAAUCGGUGAGCCAACUAUGUGCAAGGAUUUCACAUUAUACAUUUGACAAAUGAAUUAGAUAAGAAAGCAAAAGAAUAAAAAAAAGUCUCUUUCCCAUUGUCUAUUUUGAAAAGAAGUCUGAAAUGGGGUUCAGCCCUAGCAGAAGAUAACAAAUUGUCGUAAAGGCAAUGGGGUAUAAGAUAAUGACAUGGAC
Molecule: unclassified non-coding RNA, 714 nt
Filed under: Hevea brasiliensis (rubber tree)
Lineage: Eukaryota; Viridiplantae; Streptophyta; Magnoliopsida; Malpighiales; Euphorbiaceae
Source: RNAcentral